This 37-nucleotide ribosomal RNA is filed under the name Conticribra weissflogii. Its description in RNAcentral is "partial large subunit ribosomal RNA". Lineage: Eukaryota; Bacillariophyta; Thalassiosirophyceae; Thalassiosirales; Thalassiosiraceae. The record is from RNAcentral.
ACCCGCCGAAUUUAAGCAUAUCAUAAAGCGGAGGGAA